Octopus sinensis (East Asian common octopus) is the source of this 109-nucleotide small nuclear RNA. NCBI's taxonomy places the organism in Eukaryota, Metazoa, Mollusca, Cephalopoda, Octopoda, Octopodidae. The record is from RefSeq and is a predicted model, not a curated record.
GUACAUAUAUAUAACUUUGGCUGUACGUAUACUAAAACUGGAAUAAUAUGGAGAAGAUUAGCAUGACCCCCAUACAGGGAUGCAAAUUUGUGAAGUGUUACUGUUACCC